GGAAAAAGCCUGCUUGUAUUUCGCAUACCUAGACACUCGUCCGUUCGUUCGCACCCUCCCCGUCCCUAACAAACUCCAUCUCGUCUUUCACCAGUUCUGCCUUGAAAACUCCAACCCCUCUGGUUACAUUAAACUGUUUUCUCUUUCCACAGGCGCUGCUGUAUUUUCCGGAGUUUUCCGGUGACCAACCAUUUUAAUUCCUAUUCCCAUUCUCGCUCCGACUUGUUGGUCCAUGACCGCCUCUUCUGCCAGGAUGAGGCCGCUGUCGGGUUGGAGGAGUGACACCUCACACUCUAUCUGGGUAGCCUCCAGCCUGAUGAUGCUGCCUCACCUGCCUAGUGCCCCGACACUCUCUGUUUUCGUGUCAGAAGUCCAGCAUCUGCACGUUUUGAGUGAGGGAGAAGGAUGUGGCCCUCAAGUGUGGGAGAGAAACCGCUGUUCUGUAUAUGCAUGGAGGAAAGUUUGUGGGUUUCAACAGCUCUGAAGAUCUGUCAAGGGCCCAACAUAUUGAUGUAAUCACAAACAAGGUAUAAAACUGUAAGACCAUGAGGCAAAGGAGCAGAAUUAGGCCAUUUGGCCCAUCGACUUUGCUCUGACAUUUCAUUAUGCUGAUCCAUUUUGCCUCUCAGUUCCAAUCUCCUGCCUUCUCCCCGUAUCCCUUUAUGCUCUGACCAUUCAAAAAUAUAUCAAACUCUGUCUUAAACAUACAUAAAGACUUGGCCUCCACAGCUGCCUGUGGCAAAUAAUUGCACAGAUUCACCACCCCCGGCUAAAGAAAUUCCUCCUCAUCUCCUUUUUAAAAGGAUACCCACCUAUUCUGAGGCUGUCCCCUCUGGUCUUAGACUCUUCCACCGUGGGAAACAUCCUCUCCACAUCCACUCUGUCAAGGCCUUUCACCAAUCGAUAGGUUUCAAUGAGGUCACCCCUCAUUCCUCUGAAUUCUAGUGAAUACAGGCCCAGAGCCAUCAGACACUCUUUAUAUGACAAGUCAUUCAAUCCUGGAAUCAUUUUCAUGAACCUCCUUUGAACCCUCUCCAGAUUCAGCACAUCCUUCCAAACCUGGUCACAAUACUUAAAAUGAGGUGCUUUAUAAAUUCUCAAUAUCACAUCCUUGCUUUUAUAUUCCAGUCCUCCUGAAAAAAAUGCUAACAUCGCAUUUGCCUUCCGCACCACAGACUCAACCUGCAAAUUAACCUUCAAGGAAUCCUGUACAAGAACUCCCAAGUCCCCUUGCAUCUCAGCUUUUUGUAUUUUCUCUCUAUUUAGAAAAAUAGUCAUCCCUUUCAUUUCUUCUACCUACAGAAUGUGCAUGACCAUACACUUCCUGACACUGUCUUCCAUCUGUCAUUUAUUUGUCUAUUCUCCUAAUCUGUUUAAGUCCUUCUGUAACUCCUCUACUUCUACUAAACUACUUGCCCCUUCACUUAUCUUUGUAUCAUCUGCAAACUUUGCAACAAAGACAUCAAUUCUAUCAUCCAAAUCAUUGACAUAUAAUAUAAAAAAAUUAAUCCAACACAGACCCCUGUGGAACAUCACUAGUCACCCGCAACCAACCAGAAAAAGGAUCUCUUUAUUCCCACUCUUUGCCUUCUGCCAAUCAGCCACUGCUUUAUCCAUGCUACAGUCUUUCCCGUAAUACCAUGGAGUCAUAGCUUGGUAAGCAGCCUCAUGCAUAGCACCUUGUUCAAAAGUCUUCUGAAAAUACAACUACACAUCAACCAAUUCUCCAUUGUCUAUCCCACUUGUUAUUUCUACAAAGAAUUCCAACAGAUUUGUCAGGCAAGAUUUUCUUUUGAGGAAACCAUGCUGACUGUGACCUAUUUUAUCAUGUGACUCCAAGUACCCUGAGACUAUUGAAGAAACUUAUGGUAUCCUCUUUAAUAUUUUUGGCUAGCUUACCUUCGUGUUCCAUCUCUACCUUCCUAAUGACUUUUUUUAGUUGUCUUCUGUUGGUGUUUAAAAGCUUUCCAAUCCUCUAACUUCCUGCUAAUUUUUUGCUCUAUUAUAUGCCCUCUCUUUGGCUUUUAUAUUGGCUUUGUUCUUUUCCAAUCAAUUCUGGCCAGCUCAUCUCUCAUGCCUCUGUAAUUCUCUUUACUUCACUGUAAUACCGAUACAUCUGACUUUAGCUUCUCCUUAAAAUUCAGGGUGAAUUCAUAUUAUGAUCACUUUCCCCUCAGGGUUCUUUUACCUUGAUCUCUCUAAUCAAUUCCGGUUCAUUGCACAACACCCAAUCCAGAAUAGGUGAUCCUCUAGCGGGCUCAACCACGAGCUGCUCCAAAAAGCCAUCUCGUAGGCACUCUAGAGGAUCUCCCCUCCCGGAAUCCAGCAGCAAGCUGAUUUUCCCAAUCAACCUGCAUAUUGAAAUCCCCCAUGACUAUUGUAACAUUGUCCUUUCAGCAUGCAUUUCCUAUCUCCUGUUGUAAUUCAUAGACUGCAUCCUUAGUACUGUUUGGAUGUCUGUAGAUAACUCUUAUCAGGGUCUUGUUACCCUUAGUUCUAUCCACAAUGACCCUUUAUCAGGAUUCACAAUCUACCUUGUUAUGAUCUUGCACUUUAUUCAGAAUCAGAUUUACUAUCACCGGCAUGUGUCGUGAAAUUUGUUAACUUAGCAGCAGCAAUUCAAUGAACUACAUAAUAUACUAUAGAAGAGAAACAAUAAUAAUAAUAAGUAAGUCAAUUACACUAUAUGUUUAUUAAUAGAUUAAAAUCAUUUAAAAAAGAAAUAAUACAUAUUUAAAAAGUGAGGUUGUGUUCAUGGGUUCAAUGUCCAUUUAGGAAUCGGAUGGCAGAGGGGAAGAAGCUGUUCCUGAAUCGCUGAGUGUGUGCCUUCAGGCUUCUGUACCUCCUACCUGAUGGUAACUGUGAGAAAAGGGCAUGCCCUGGGUGCUGGAGGUCCUUAAUAAUGGACGCUGCCUUUCUAAGACACCGCUUCCUAAAGAUGUCCUGGGUACUUUGUAGGCUAGUGCCCAAGAUGGAGCUGACUAGAUUUACAACCUCUGCAGCUUCUUUCGGUCCCCCGCAUACUAAACCGUUACUUUGAACUUUGAUAUUGUGGAUUAGAAUGAGUGAAUAUUCAGGGAGAAGACUACAGGGAGACAUAUUUCAGCAGCAUCAUUCAGUUCCAGAAUCAGAUAUCAAGAACUAAUUUCUCUGCAGUUUUAUACCUUCCCAGCUAUAGGCCACCUCUGCGACUGGACUGGGAUGGCAGUGACUAAGCGAAUGUAAUUCUCCUUCUUCACCUCCACCACUUCAUGUCAGUACAUGCUCAUGUGAUCAGACCCAUCAGGGAGAAACGACCAGGCAAUGCUCCAGUCAAAGUCACGUCACCAAUCUAAAGAUAACAUUGUGGGUGAGACUGGAUCAACAGGUUGUGUAAACUGAGAACUCAGCCCCAGCACGAUAGUCCCAGGGAUGAUGGUUCCAGUCCCAAUCAGAGGCACAAGCCACAGAGUCCAACUGGCCCAGUUCCUCACAGGAUAAGCCCUCCCCACCAAUGAGCUCAUCUACAUGAAAUGCUGACACAGGAAAGCAGCAUCCAUCAUCAGGGACCCCCACCAUCUAGGCCAUGCUCUCUUAGAAACAUAGAAAACCUACAGCUCAAUACAGGCCCUUCGGCCCACAAAGUUGUGCGGAACAUGUCCCUACCUCUCUUCUCAUUGCUGCCAUCAGGAAAGAGGUACAGGAGCCUCAGGUCUCACAUCACCGGGUCAGGAACAGUUAUUACCCCUCAACCUUCAGGCUAUUGAACCAGAGGAAAGAACUUCACUCGCCACAACACUGAACCAUUCCCACAACCUAUGGACUCACUUUCAAGGACUCUUCAUCUCAUGUCCUCGAUAUUUAUUGCAUAUUGAUUAUUAUUUUGUAUUUGCAGUUUGUUGUCUGUCUUGUCACGUGUUUUCAUCGAUUCCAUUGUUUCUUUGUACUUAGACCAUAACACCAUAAAAUAUAGGGGCAGAAUGAGGCCAUUUGGCCCAUCUUGACUGUUCCAUUUUCCCUCUCACCCUCAAUCUCCUGCCUUCUUGCCCUGACUAAUAAAGGAUCUAUUAAACUCUGCCUUAAAUAGACACAAUAGCUUGGCCUUCAAAGCUGCUUAUGACAACAAAUUCCACAGAUUCACCAUAAGAUAGGUUCCUGAUCUCAUGAUCUUACACUUUUUUGUUCAGCUGUCUGAAUAUUGCGCUUUCAACAAAUUUGUUGGAGUUCUUUGAGGACAUAACAUAUAGGGUAGAUAAAGGGGAACCAGUGGAUGUGGUGUAUUUGGACUUCCAAAAGGCAUUUGACAAGGUGCCAUACCAAAGAUUAUUACUUAAAGUAAAAAAAUCAUGGGAUUGGGGAUAAUAUUCUGGCAUGGGUGGAGGAUUGGCUUUCUAACAGAAAACAGAGAGUUGGGAUAAAUGGUUUAUUCUCAGACUGGCAGUUGGUGACUAGUGGUGUUCCGCAGGGGUCGGUGUUGGGACCCCAACUCUUUAAAAUCUAUAUUAAUGAUUUGGAGAAAGGGAUUAAGUGCAACGUAUCGAAGUUUGCUGAUGACACAAAGAUGGGAGGGAGUGUAAUGAGUGCAGAGGACAUUGAAACCCUGCAGGGGGACAUAGAUAGGCUGAAUGAUUGGGCAGACAUUUGGCAGAUGAAAUAUAAUACUGACAAGUGUGAGGUCUUGCACUUUGGCAGGAAAAAUAAUAGAGCAAGUUAUUAUCUAAAUGGAGAGAAACUGGAAAGUGCUUCUGUGCAAAGGGAUCUGGGGGUCCUGGUGCAGGAAAACACAAAAAGUUAAUAUGCAAGUGCAGCAGGUGGUCAAGAAGGCCAAUGGAAUGCUGGCUUUUAUUGCUAGGGGGAUGGAGUAUAAGAACAGGGAGGUCUUACUGCAGUUGUACUGGGUAUUGGUGAGACCACACCUGGAGUACUGCGUGCAGUUCUGGUGUCCAUAUUUAAGAAAGGACAUAUUGGCUCUCAAGGCAGUGCAGAGAAGGUUCACUAGGUUUAUUCCGGGGAUGGGUGGGUUGAUGUAUGAUGAGAGGUUGAGUAGAUUGGGACUCUACUCAUUGGAGUUCCGAAGAAUGAGAGGCGAUCUUAUUGAAACAUAUAAGAUUGUGAAGGGGCUUGAUUGGGUGGAUGCAGGGAGAAUGUUCCCAAUGAUGGGUGAAACUAGGACUAGGAGGCAUAAUCUUAAAAUAAGGGGAUGCUGUUCCAGGACUGAGAUGAGGAGAAAUUUCUUCACUCAGAGGGUAGAGGGGCUGUGGAAUUUACUGCCCCAGAGAGCUGUGGAAGCUACUACACUCAAUAAAUUCAAAACGGAGAUAGGCAUUUUCCUGGAUAAAAAUGGCAUUAGGGGAUACGGUGAGCGAGCAGGUAAGUGGACAUGAGGCUAGGUUUAGAUCAGCCAUGUGAUCUCCUGGACCAGUUUUCGAUAGCCUAGAUGGGUCGGAGAGGAAUUUUCCAGAUUUUUUCUCCUCAAUUGGCAAAUCGUUUUUUUUUCCCCGGGUGAUCACAUGGGUUUGGGCGGGAUGAAUAAUAAAAUAAAAUGGGCGGCAUGGUGCCCUGUUGGUUGGCACUGUUGCCUUGUGGGAUUCAGUGAAAACUAGAGUUAAGAUUGGAUCAGCCAUGAUCUUGUUGAAUGGUGGAGCAGGCUUGAGGGGCCGAUUGGCCUACUCCUGCUCCUAUCUCUUAUGUUCUUAUGUUUCUCAUGGCUGUUAUUUUACUCUGCAUUCUGUUAUUGUUUCAGCUCAAUGCACUGUGUAAUAUCUGAUCUGUAUGGACAGUAUGCAAGGUAAACAUCGAUGCCUGUGACCACCACCCCGUUCCAAUGCACAUUAACGGGUACGGGUGGGGAUGCAAACACAGUCCGCGCUGACCUUGAAUAAGGAAAUGGGAAAUGGUGGAAGGGGAGUGGUUAAGUCUAAGUGGUCAGGUGAUUGGUGAGCAAUGCACACAAAAUUCUGGAGGAACUCAGCAGGUCAGGCAGCAUCUAUGGAAAGUAUUACAGUCAAUGUUUCAGGCAGAGACCCUUCAUUAAGGGAGCGGUGAGGGGGAAGGUGGGUGGGUGGGAGCAUGGGGAUGACGUGAAAAGUUGGGAGAGGAUAGGCGGAAGAGAUAGAGAGAUGAAGAAGCAAUAAAGAUCUUCCUCAGGGAUAGAAUUCCCCUUACUCUUACCUAUAAUCCCACAAAUGUCUGCAUCUUCCUUGGUCUUCAACAGGAUCCUACCACCAAUCACACCUUUACCUCCCCAACCUCCCACCCUCCAUUUCCCGCAGGGCUCACUCUCUCCGAUUCACUUGUCCUUUCACCCCUUCGCACUAAUCUCCUUCCUGGCUCUGAACCCAGCAGGCGGCCGAAGUGCUACAUCUGCCCAUUCAGGGCCCCAACAGUCCUUUGGGGCGAGGUAACACCUCACCUGCCAAUCUGCUGGGAUCGUUGAUUGUGUCUGGUGCUCCCGCUGUGACCAGUUGUAGAUUUGGGGGCCGCUUCACCGAGCACCUUCGCUCAGGUUUUGGCUGGUCAUCAUCCAUUUUAGCUCUACUUUCCAUUCCCACUCCAACGUGCUGGUCCAGGGCCUCCUCACCUGCCAUGAUGAGGCUACGGUCAGGGUGGAGGAGCAACACCUCAUAUCUGACUGGGUAGCCUCCAACCUGAUGGCAUGAACAUUGAUUUCUUCAACUUCUCCCAUUUUCCAUUUUGGUUCUCCCCUCACCCCUUCCCAUCUCCUCACCUGCCCAUCAGGAUCAGAACCAGGCAUAAUAUCACUGGCUUAUGUUGUGAAAUUUGCCAUUUGGUGGCAGUACAGUGCAAUACAUGGCAAUAACAAUUACAUUAAGAAAUAUACCUAAGUGAAAAGUAGUGCAAUUGUAUCACUGAGCAAGUGUUCAUGGGUUCAUUGUCCAUUCAGCUGUCUCCCUCUCCCAUGGUCCACUCUCCUAUCUAAUCAGAUCCCUUUCUCUUUAGCCCAUUAUCUCUUCCACCUAUUGCCUCCCAGCUUCUUACUUCACCCCACCCCCAACCACCCAGACUCCUCCUUACUUGAUCUCAACUAUCACUUCCUAGUUUACCCGCCAUCUCAUUCUGGCCCCUGUCCCCUUCCUUUCCCAUCCUGAUGAAGGGUCCAGGACUGAAAUAUCUGCUGUUUAUUUGCCACCAUAGAAGCUGCUUGAUCUACUGAGUUCCUGCAGCAUUUUGUAUGUGUUGCAAUAGUUUAUCUAAAGCUCUGGUCUCCUAUCUCCAUGAGAGAAAGCCUAUUUAUAUCCCCCAUUCCUCUGCACUGGCCACUGGGAGAGGAAGGCUGAGGUGAUAACUCUGACCUCCUGUGUGGAGAAGGCCGGACAGCCUGCCUGAAUGCCUGAGACAUUAUCGGUGGCAAGAAUAGAAUAGUGAUGCAGAAAUGUGUGACUGCUCACGACAGGUUUGGUUUUAGAACAUUACUUUAGUUAUCACUGGCUGUAUGAAUCUCCACAUUACAAACCAUAGAGCCAGAGAGCACUGGAGCAUGGAAACGGGCCUUUCAGCCCAUUUACUCCAUGGCAAACUAUUAAUCUGCCUAGUCCUAUCAACGUGCCCCCAGACUAUAGCCCUCCAUACCCUUCCCAAAAUUUCUCUUAAAUGUUGAAAUCAAACCUGCAUCCACCACUUGCGCUGACAGCUCGUUCCAUGUUCUCACCUCACUCAUACUCCCUUUAAACACUUCACCUUUCACCCUUAACCCAUGACCCCUAAUUCUAGUCCCCCGUCCCCCCGCCAACCUCAGUGGAAAAAGCCUGCUUGCAUUUACCCUAUCUAUACCCUCACAAUGUUGUAUGCCUAUAACAAAUCUUCCCUCAUUCUCCUGCACUCCAGGGAAUAAAGUCCUAACCUAUUCAACCUCCAGUCCUAGCACAUCCUUGUAAAUUAUCUCUAAAGACUUUCAAUCUUUUGUGUAGGUGACCAGAACUGCACACAGAGUGAGUAACGAUGUGCAGUUAACAAGGAGAGGCCACUGUCUGCCUCCAUUGUAUUCCACGUGUAUUUCACCUCCAACACACAGGUCCCGAGGGAGCUGGAGGCCCAUCAUGAAAGGGUAGUCCUCAAAAAAAAUACUGCAAAUCUGAAAUUAAAACAGAAAAUGCUAUAAACUCAGAACAUCACCAAGGUCCACCAACACUGAGUACAUCGAUACAGAGCGCUGUCACAGAAAAGCAGCCUCAAUCAUCGGGGACCCCACCAGCCAAGCCAUGCUCUUUUCUCACUGCUGCCAUCAGAAAGAAGGUACAGGAGCCUCAAGGCAGCAUCACUAGGCUCAGGAACAGUUACUACCCCUGAAUCACCAGGUUCUUGAACGAGAGGAGAUAACUUCACUCACUCCAACACUGAACUGUUUCCACAACCUACAGACUCACUCUCAGGGAAUCCAUCUCGCAUUCUCAAUAUUAUUUAUUUAUUGUGUUUAUUUAUUAUUUAUUUAUAGUUUGUCUCUGGUUGUUUGCCAGUCUUUGUGUGCAGCUUUUCAUUAAUUCUGUUGUAUUUUUUGUUCUGCUGUGAACACCUGCAAGAAAAUAAAUCUCAGGGUGACACAUA
This is a long non-coding RNA of Hypanus sabinus (Atlantic stingray), 8541 nucleotides long. RefSeq lists it as uncharacterized. The transcript has 2 exons. Lineage: Eukaryota; Metazoa; Chordata; Chondrichthyes; Myliobatiformes; Dasyatidae. The record is from RefSeq and is a predicted model, not a curated record.